GAUGAACGCUGGCGGCGUGCCUAAUACAUGCAAGUCGAGCGAACAGAUGAGGAGCUUGCUCCUCUGACUUUAGCGGCGGACGGGUGAGUAACACGUGGAUAACCUACCUAUAAGACUGGGAUAACUUCGGGAAACCGGAGCUAAUACCGGAUAAUAUAUUGAACCGCAUGGUUCAAUAGUGAAAGACGGUUUUGCUGUCACUUAUAGAUGGAUCCGCGCCGCAUUAGCUAGUUGGUAAGGUAACGGCUUACCAAGGCAACGAUGCGUAGCCGACCUGAGAGGGUGAUCGGCCACACUGGCACUGCGCCACGGUCCAGACUCCUACGGGAGGCAGCAGUAGGGAAUCUUCCGCAAUGGGCGAAAGCCUGACGGAGCAACGCCGCGUGAGUGAUGAAGGUCUUCGGAUCGUAAAACUCUGUUAUUAGGGAAGAACAAAUGUGUAAGUAACUAUGCACGUCUUGACGGUACCUAAUCAGAAAGCCACGGCUAACUACGUG
RNAcentral lists this ribosomal RNA (497 nucleotides) under uncultured bacterium. RNAcentral describes it as "partial 16S ribosomal RNA". It matches the Rfam family "Bacterial small subunit ribosomal RNA", at positions 28 to 507 of the family's 1533-position model. The record is from RNAcentral.